This 334-nucleotide long non-coding RNA is filed under the name Carica papaya (papaya). Its description in RNAcentral is "long non-coding RNA (CPAP_LNC014166)". Lineage: Eukaryota; Viridiplantae; Streptophyta; Magnoliopsida; Brassicales; Caricaceae. The record is from RNAcentral.
UUUGAUCUCAAGACAGAGGUCCCACUCAAACUUUCUUGCCUUCCUUCCUUCAUCCAUCAUACUCUCUGGGGAAUAUCGACCCAACUCUAGAAAUCACCGAACAUACUCUAACACUGUCAUAUCACCUUGUACCAGGUGUGCAAAUUCCAUCUCCUUCAGAUGCUGAAGAUGUUCUAGGAGAUACUCUGCAUUGAAGACCAUAUGGAACUGUUCCUAAGCGAUUAGAAUGGGCAGGGUGGCUUGCUUGAGCUGCCACCACCGACCUGCCGCUCCCACGAACAUAUAGGUGACAAAUACCACCUUCUGCUCAGGAACUUUCCCAAGAGUCGCGAAG